Molecule: ribosomal RNA, 293 nt
Filed under: Salmonella enterica subsp. enterica serovar Hvittingfoss
Lineage: Bacteria; Pseudomonadati; Pseudomonadota; Gammaproteobacteria; Enterobacterales; Enterobacteriaceae
Description: partial 16S ribosomal RNA
Rfam family: Bacterial small subunit ribosomal RNA
Source: RNAcentral
GGAAACGGUGGCUAAUACCGCAUAACGUCGCAAGACCAAAGAGGGGGACCUUCGGGCCUCUUGCCAUCAGAUGUGCCCAGAUGGGAUUAGCUUGUUGGUGAGGUAACGGCUCACCAAGGCGACGAUCCCUAGCUGGUCUGAGAGGAUGACCAGCCACACUGGAACUGAGACACGGUCCAGACUCCUACGGGAGGCAGCAGUGGGGAAUAUUGCACAAUGGGCGCAAGCCUGAUGCAGCCAUGCCGCGUGUAUGAAGAAGGCCUUCGGGUUGUAAAGUACUUUCAGCGGGGAGG